UAACCGGUGGUGUUCUGCGAAAC
Molecule: non-coding RNA, 23 nt
Filed under: Arabidopsis thaliana (thale cress)
Lineage: Eukaryota; Viridiplantae; Streptophyta; Magnoliopsida; Brassicales; Brassicaceae
Source: RNAcentral